Long non-coding RNA from Thalassophryne amazonica, 129 nucleotides. RefSeq lists it as uncharacterized. NCBI's taxonomy places the organism in Eukaryota, Metazoa, Chordata, Actinopteri, Batrachoidiformes, Batrachoididae. The record is from RefSeq and is a predicted model, not a curated record. The transcript has 3 exons.
CAUUGAUAAAAUUAUGGAUUCAAUGUUUAUCAGAGAAACUGAUGAAUAUGAAAUAAUUGAUAUAGUUCAUAAACUAAAAGGAAAAAAUCUUCUGAAUGUGAUAAUUUUGACAUGUUUUUGAUAAAAAAA